RNAcentral lists this long non-coding RNA (701 nucleotides) under Homo sapiens (human). RNAcentral describes it as "HSALNT0359934". The record is from RNAcentral. Lineage: Eukaryota; Metazoa; Chordata; Mammalia; Primates; Hominidae.
CCACCUCCACCCGCCCCCACCGCGGCCCAACUUGGAGGGAAUUGGGGUCCUGAGCGCCUGCCCCCCACAGCCGCCAGCGCAGAGCCACGCGCUGCCACCUUCGAUUGAACAGGAGAAUCUGGAACCAGGAGUGAGCAGAGCUGGCCCCAGGCCUUGGUGGCUGUGUACUAGUUCUGUGACCUGCAAUCAGUCACUUAACUUCUGUGAGCUCCUCUCUUUCCGUCUGUAAAAAAGGAAUAUGUACUACCCACUUCCUGAGUAGAUGUUGAAGAUGUUGUAAAAGGUUCGAGUCAACCAAUUAAAAGCAAUAGAUCACAUGAAGAUGAGUAUAUCUUCUGUUUGUUGGGACAUAAUCCAGAGAGGAUCUUUCUCCCCAGAUAUUAUGGGAUGGCCACAUUUUACAGCUGAGAGUGACAAGGCUUAGAAACUAAACAUAUAAGGUCCUGCCCCAUCUCCUGGAAGAAGGAAUGCUACACAGAGAGGCUAAGAAGACUCUGGACAGUGCAGAAUCUGGAGCUAGAGAAAAAUUUAAAAAGCCACAAGGAUGUGAAUUGCUGAGCCUGAGAUAGAAGAGGUAGGGAAAAAAAACAUAAGAACCUGCUUGUCUUCUGUUGAGUUAAAACGAACUAUUUUUUAAAAUAGUGUGAAAUAAAGGAAAUGAGAGACAUAUUAAGGAUAUGCUACAGUGAAUGUAGAGACAA